RNAcentral lists this unclassified non-coding RNA (404 nucleotides) under soil metagenome. Its description in RNAcentral is "partial contains 5.8S ribosomal RNA, internal transcribed spacer 2, and large subunit ribosomal RNA". The stretch from base 1 to 121 matches the Rfam family "5.8S ribosomal RNA", at positions 35 to 154 of the family's 154-position model. The record is from RNAcentral.
GAUGAAGAACGUAGCGAAAUGCGAUAAGUAAUGUGAAUUGCAGAAUUCAGUGAAUCAUCGAAUCUUUGAACGCACCUUGCGCCCUUUGGCUAUUCCGAAGGGCAUGCCUGUUUGAGUAUCAUGAACACCUCAACUCUCAUGGUUUGCCAUGAUGAGCUUGGACUUUGGGGGUCUUGCCGGCCUAUGGGUCGGCUCCUCUCAAAUUAAUCAGCUUGCCAGUGUUUGGUGGCAUCACAGGUGUGAUAACUAUCUACGCUUGUGGUUUUCCAUCAGGUAACCUUCAGUGAUGGAGGUUCGCUGGGGCUCAUAAAUGUCUCUCCUCAGUGAGGACAGCUUUUUUUAACGUUUGAUCUCAAAUCAGGUAGGACUACCCGCUGAACUUAAGCAUAUCAAUAAGCGGAGGA